UACGGGGGGAGCAAGCGUUGUUCGGAUUUACUGGGCGUAAAGGGCGCGUAGGCGGUCGUCUAAGUCACUUGUGAAAUCUCCGGGCUCAACCCGGAGCGGCCAAGUGAUACUGGGCGACUAGAGUGCGGAAGGGGCAACCGGAAUUCUCGGUGUAGCGGUGAAAUGCGUAGAUAUCGAGAGGAACACCUGCGGCGAAGGCGGGUUGCUGGGCCGACACUGACGCUGAGGCGCGAAAGCCAGGGGAGCGAACGGG
This 253-nucleotide ribosomal RNA is filed under the name uncultured bacterium. RNAcentral's name for it is "partial 16S ribosomal RNA". It matches the Rfam family "Bacterial small subunit ribosomal RNA", at positions 524 to 776 of the family's 1533-position model. The record is from RNAcentral.